GACGAACGCUGGCGGCGUGCCUAAUACAUGCAAGUAGAACGCUGAAGGAGGAGCUUGCUUCGCUGGAUGAGUUGCGAACGGGUGAGUAACGCGUAGGUAACCUGCCUGGUAGCGGGGGAUAACUAUUGGAAACGAUAGCUAAUACCGCAUAAGAGUAGAUGUUGCAUGACAUUUGCUUAAAAGGUGCAAUUGCAUCACUACCAGAUGGACCUGCGUUGUAUUAGCGAGUUGGUGGGGUAACGGCUCACCAAGGCGACGAUACAUAGCCGACCUGAGAGGGGGAUCGGCCACACUGGGACUGGGACACGGCCCCGACUCCUGCGGGGAGCAGCAGUAGGGGAUCUUCGGACAUGGGCCGAAGUCUGACCGCGCCCCGCCGCGUGGGUGGAGGAAGUUUUCGGGUCGUAAAGCUCUGUUGUGAGGGGAGAACGAGUGUGAGAGUGGAAAGUUCACGCUGUGACGGUAGCUUACCAGAAAGGGACGGCUAACUACGUG
Molecule: ribosomal RNA, 495 nt
Filed under: uncultured bacterium
Lineage: Bacteria
Description: partial 16S ribosomal RNA
Rfam family: Bacterial small subunit ribosomal RNA
Source: RNAcentral